GCCAAGCCCCGCCUCCCCUCCCGCAAGCUUCCCCGCGCCCAGGUGACCGCGGGUGAUGGAGGACCCCAGGGCGGGCGCCCGGAGGGACAACGAAGACCCGAGCGGCAUCUGCGGAGUCGGCGCAGGCUCGGCCUCCUCCUCCUGGCUGGGUGUGUCCCGGGCCCGCCGCUCCCCCUGGUGCCGGCCUCCUGGAGGCCGCGCCCACCGCGCCCGGUCCAGCUACGCCGCCCAAAGCUCGAGUUCAGCUUCUCCAGGACCUUCAUCACCACCGGCUCCAUGGAGCUGGGCGAGGCAGCCUCCUUAACCCCAUUUUACUGAUGAGCAAACUGAGGCGCAGAAGUCAGGUGGCAGCCAGGACUUCAACCUAGCUGUUCUCACCUCUUCCUUCCAAGCCCUCUGAACUCCACCUCGGCGGGCUCCCUUUGGGACCCCCUUCCCAGAAGCUUAGAUGGCCUCGGCGUCGGCCUCUCUGUGUCUGCGGCGCCCUCUGCAGGGUCUCACUGGCUUUCUCACCUACGCUGGAGUGCAGUGGCGGGAUCUCAGCUCACUGCAGCCUUCGCCUCCCAGGUGUUUGCACCAGCCUCCCCAUCACCAAGCAGCCAAUCCUGGCAGCAGGAAUGGAAGUCAGCAACUGAGAACCCUGGAUUUACAGCUCUAGGCAAACCAAGGAGUUUCCAGAAGUUGUGGGAAAGCUCCCACCCAGUCCCCUAUAGAGUGACUGAACAGCUGAUGGGAACACCUUCACGGUCAAUUCAAUUAUCUUUCAUGUUAUGGUCCUGGCCUCACUAGUAAACCCUGUGUAAACUCAAAACUCACUGUGAAAUCACUGUUACAUGACAUGGGAAUCUCUAAUUUUUAAUCAAAUUACGUAUUUCAAUUCA
This is a non-coding RNA of Macaca mulatta (Rhesus monkey), 881 nucleotides long. NCBI's taxonomy places the organism in Eukaryota, Metazoa, Chordata, Mammalia, Primates, Cercopithecidae. The record is from RefSeq and is a predicted model, not a curated record.